UACGUAGGUGGCAAGCGUUGUCCGGAUUUAUUGGGUUUAAAGGGUGCGUAGGCGGUUUCAUAAGUCAGUGGUGAAAUACGGCAGCUCAACUGUCGAGGUGCCAUUGAUACUGUGAGACUUGAGUACAGACGAGGUAGGCGGAAUUGACGGUGUAGCGGUGAAAUGCUUAGAUAUCGUCAAGAACACCGAUAGCGAAGGCAGCUUACUAGGCUGUAACUGACGCUGAGGCACGAAAGUGUGGGGAUCAAACAGGA
This 254-nucleotide ribosomal RNA is filed under the name uncultured bacterium. RNAcentral's name for it is "partial 16S ribosomal RNA". It matches the Rfam family "Bacterial small subunit ribosomal RNA", at positions 524 to 777 of the family's 1533-position model. The record is from RNAcentral.